UAAAUACUCCCACCGUCCGAAAAUAAUUGUCAUAAAAAUGGAUGUAUUUAGAUGUAUUUUAAUUUUAAAUAUAUCUAUUUUUAUACAUUUGUGUGACAAGUAAAUUUGAUCGGAGGAAGUAGUAG
This 125-nucleotide microRNA precursor is filed under the name Hordeum vulgare. Its description in RNAcentral is "microRNA MIR1122". It matches the Rfam family "MIR1120/MIR1122 microRNA precursor family". The record is from RNAcentral. Lineage: Eukaryota; Viridiplantae; Streptophyta; Magnoliopsida; Poales; Poaceae.